CAGUCGCCGCGGGAAUACGAAGGGGGCUAGCGUUGCUCGGAAUGACUGGGCGUAAAGGGCGCGUAGGCGGAUUGUUUAGUUAGGCGUGAAAUUCCUGGGCUUAACCUGGGGACUGCGCUUAAUACAGGCAGUCUAGAGUGAGGAAGAGGGUUGUGGAAUUCCCAGUGUAGAGGUGAAAUUCGUAGAUAUUGGGAAGAACACCGGUGGCGAAGGCGGCAACCUGGUCCUUGACUGACGCUAAGGCGCGAAAGCGUGGGGAGCAAACAGGAUUAGAUACCCGCGUAGUCCCUGUCUCUUAUAC
RNAcentral lists this ribosomal RNA (301 nucleotides) under uncultured bacterium. Its description in RNAcentral is "partial 16S ribosomal RNA". It matches the Rfam family "Bacterial small subunit ribosomal RNA", at positions 509 to 807 of the family's 1533-position model. The record is from RNAcentral.